RNAcentral lists this ribosomal RNA (161 nucleotides) under Lysinibacillus fusiformis. RNAcentral describes it as "16S rRNA. Bacterial SSU". It matches the Rfam family "Bacterial small subunit ribosomal RNA", at positions 19 to 174 of the family's 1533-position model. Lineage: Bacteria; Bacillati; Bacillota; Bacilli; Caryophanales; Bacillaceae. RNAcentral also lists the same sequence under 1 other name. The record is from RNAcentral.
CUGGCUCAGGACGAACGCUGGCGGCGUGCCUAAUACAUGCAAGUCGAGCGAACAGAGAAGGAGCUUGCUCCUUCGACGUUAGCGGCGGACGGGUGAGUAACACGUGGGCAACCUACCUUAUAGUUUGGGAUAACUCCGGGAAACCGGGGCUAAUACCGAAU